GUGCCAGCAGCCGCGGUAAUACAGAGGUCCCGAGCGUUGUUCGGAUUCACUGGGCGUAAAGGGUGCGUAGGCGGUUGGGCAAGUCUGAUGUGAAAGCCCCGGGCUUAACCCGGGAAUGGCAUCGGAAACUGCCUGGCUUGAGGCUUGGAGGGGGGACUGGAAUGCUCGGUGUAGCAGUGAAAUGCGUAGAGAUCGAGCGGAACACCGGUGGCGAAGGCGAGUCCCUGGACAAGACCUGACGCUGAGGCACGAAAGCCAGGGGAGCAAACAGGAUUAGAUACCCGGGUAGUCC
This 292-nucleotide ribosomal RNA is filed under the name uncultured bacterium. Its description in RNAcentral is "partial 16S ribosomal RNA". It matches the Rfam family "Bacterial small subunit ribosomal RNA", at positions 505 to 796 of the family's 1533-position model. The record is from RNAcentral.